AUCCCAUGGUGAGGACAAGCUCUUGUAUAUCCUUUCAUACGUUCCCACGUGUCAUACAAACUCUCUUCUUCGCCUUGCUCAAAUCUAGUUAUAUCGUUCCUUAUCUU
This 107-nucleotide small nucleolar RNA is filed under the name Arabis alpina (gray rockcress). RNAcentral describes it as "Plant small nucleolar RNA R71". It matches the Rfam family "Plant small nucleolar RNA R71". Rfam says of the family: R71 is a member of the C/D box family of snoRNAs containing the C (UGAUGA) and D (CUGA) box motifs. Multiple nearly identical copies of this snoRNA have been identified in Arabidopsis, and it is thought to function as a 2'-O-ribose methylation guide for 18S ribosomal RNA. Lineage: Eukaryota; Viridiplantae; Streptophyta; Magnoliopsida; Brassicales; Brassicaceae. The record is from Rfam by way of RNAcentral.